Molecule: long non-coding RNA, 833 nt
Filed under: Salmo salar (Atlantic salmon)
Lineage: Eukaryota; Metazoa; Chordata; Actinopteri; Salmoniformes; Salmonidae
Description: lncRNA (ENSSSAG00000120536.1)
Source: RNAcentral
GUGAAGUAGAGGCAGUAGAUACAGUAGGUCCAGUAGAUAGAUAGUAGGUGAAGUAGAGGCAGUAGAUACAGUAGGUAUAGAUUCAGUAGGUACAGUAGAUAGAUACAGUAAGUGCAUUAGGUAGACACAUUAGCUACAGUAGGUACAGUAGGUACGGUAGGGAAAGUAGGUAGAUGCAGUAGAUACAGUAGGUACAGUACAUAGAUACAGUAGCUACAGUAGGGGAGGUAGGUAGAUACAGUAGGUGAAGUAGAUACAGUAGAUGCAGUAGGUACAGUGGGUAGAUAAAGUAGGUAGGUACAGUAGGUAGAGAUUCAGUAGGUACAGUAGAUAGAUAGUAGGUGAAGUAGAGGCAGUAGAUACAGUAGGUAUAGAUUCAGUAGGUACAGUAGAUAGAUACAGUAAGUGCAUUAGGUAGACACAUUAGCUACAGUAGGUACAGUAGGUACGGUAGGGAAAGUAGGUAGAUGCAGUAGAUACAGUAGGUACAGUAGGUACAGUACAUAGAUACAGUAGCUACAGUAGGGAAAGUAGGUAGAUACAGUAGAUGCAGUAGAUACAGUAGGUACAGUACAUAGAUACAGUAGCUACAGUAGGGGAAGGUAGGUAGAUACAGUAGGUGAAGUAGAUACAGUAGGUGAAGUAGAUACAGUAGGUGAAGUAGAUACAGUAGAUGCAGUAGGUACAGUGGGUAGAUAAAGUAGGUAGAUACAGUAGGUGAAGUAGAUACAGUAGAUGCAGUAGGUACAGUGGGUAGAUAAAGUAGGUAGAUACAGUAGGUACAGUAGAUGCAGUAGGUACAGCAGCUACAGUAGAUACAGUAGGUUAAGUAG